AUAAUUAAAUAUGAUAAUCAACAAGGUAAAUAAAAAAAUUCAAAAUAAAAAUAAUAAACAAGGUAAAAAAAUGUUUAUAUAUUAAACACUAAAAUAAAAUAAAUAAAAUAAAAGUUUAAACACUAUCUAACUAUUUCAUCUUUUGAUUAAUAUUAUUUUACAGUAAUCAAUCUAAAAAAAAAUUCACCAUCGCAAUCUCCGGCAACGAC
RNAcentral lists this long non-coding RNA (209 nucleotides) under Gossypium raimondii (Peruvian cotton). RNAcentral describes it as "long non-coding RNA (GRAI_LNC010574)". Lineage: Eukaryota; Viridiplantae; Streptophyta; Magnoliopsida; Malvales; Malvaceae. The record is from RNAcentral.